RNAcentral lists this ribosomal RNA (229 nucleotides) under uncultured bacterium. RNAcentral's name for it is "partial 16S ribosomal RNA". It matches the Rfam family "Bacterial small subunit ribosomal RNA", at positions 568 to 796 of the family's 1533-position model. The record is from RNAcentral.
CGCGUAGGCGGUCUCUUAAGUCAGAUGUGAAAGCCCGGGGCUUAACCUCGGAAGUGCAUUUGAAACUAAGGGACUUGAGUAUGGGAGAGGGAAGUGGAAUUUCUGGUGUAGCGGUGAAAUGCGUAGAUAUCAGGAGGAACACCGGUGGCGAAGGCGACUUCCUGGACCAAUACUGACGCUGAGGCGCGAAGGCGUAGGGAGCAAACAGGAUUAGAUACCCUGGUAGUCC